This 250-nucleotide ribosomal RNA is filed under the name uncultured prokaryote. Its description in RNAcentral is "partial 16S ribosomal RNA". It matches the Rfam family "Bacterial small subunit ribosomal RNA", at positions 524 to 773 of the family's 1533-position model. The record is from RNAcentral.
UACGGAGGGUGCAAGCGUUGUCCGGAAUCAUUGGGCGUAAAGAGUUCGUAGGCGGCAUGUAAAGUCCGGUGUUAAAUGCAGAAGCUUAACUUCUGUUCGGCACUGGAUACUUGCAAGCUGGAAUGCGGUAGAGGUAAAGGGAAUUCCUGGUGUAGCGGUGAAAUGCGUAGAUAUCAGGAGGAACAUCGGUGGCGUAAGCGCUUUACUGGGCCGUUAUUGACGCUGAGGAACGAAAGCCGGGGUAGCAAAU